AUGCACGUGCUGGCAUCCAACUCCGCCUCCCGCCUUCGGGCGGCGGUGGCGGAGCGGGUGAUGACCCCGGUGGUCGACGGUGGUCUGGCGGCCGCGGCGGCCGACGAUGGGGUGGCGGCCACGACGACCACCUCCCGCCUUCGGGCCGCGGUGGCGGAGCGGGUGAUGGCCACAGUGGCCGGCAGUGGGGUGGCGGCCACGACGACCACCUCCCGCCUUCGGGCCGCGGCGGCGGAGCGGGCGAUGGCCCUGACUUUUAAUGGUGGUGUGGCGGCAACAGUGGCCGGCAAUAGCUGCCGACGGGCAGCGGCGGCAGAGCGUGUGGUGGGUGUUCCGCGCACACCCAACAGGGACGCCACGCGCACUACACUACGCCGGGGACUGCACCGCCGCCGUGGUGUAGCCUCCCAGCUGGAGCUUUCCUCUAAUGACGGCGGAGUGGUUGAGCGACGACGAUGGACCGGUGCCAUUGGCGAUUGUGGGAGAAGAAGACGAGAUAAGCUACAGUGA
This 510-nucleotide ribosomal RNA is filed under the name Triticum aestivum (bread wheat). RNAcentral describes it as "partial small subunit ribosomal RNA". The record is from RNAcentral. Lineage: Eukaryota; Viridiplantae; Streptophyta; Magnoliopsida; Poales; Poaceae.